UCUGACGACCUCCUCGGCAGUGCAUUGAUCCGACAAGGAAGUGAAUCCACAGAUGUCGGCGAACAGAAUGCUGGAAAACGAUUACAAAGAUGUAUUCUUCUUUUAGGUUAGGUUCCGCAGACAAGGGAUCUUGAAGUUUCAAGCUUCCCACUGAGAUUUCAAGAAAGAUAUUUAAAGUGUAUCUUUAGAGAGGAAUAUUUCGAUUUCAACAUUGUAUUUCAUUAACAUGCAGUGCACAAGCCUUCCGACAAGCUGAUCUGUCGGUAUUAACAGGUACAUACCGCUUUGAAUUCUCUUUGGUAUUUGUACCAGCUGGUUAAUUAACCAUGUUGUUAUGUUGGAAACUUGCGGUGAAUCUAAUAAAUCCGUACACUCAAGACACCAUUCAUCUCGUCGUUUGAUUAUUAAAGAAUUUCUAACUUCCUUGAAUUUUAA
Molecule: long non-coding RNA, 435 nt
Organism: Apis florea (little honeybee)
Lineage: Eukaryota; Metazoa; Arthropoda; Insecta; Hymenoptera; Apidae
Source: RefSeq, a predicted model, not a curated record